UUUAUUUGAUUUCUUCGGAAUGAAGAUUUUGUGACUGAGUGGCGGACGGGUGAGUAACGCGUGGGUAACCUGCCUCAUACAGGGGGAUAACAGUUGGAAACGACUGCUAAUACCGCAUAAGCGCACAGGGUCGCAUGACCUGGUGUGAAAAACUCCGGUGGUAUGAGAUGGACCCGCGUCUGAUUAGCUGGUUGGUGAGGUAACGGCCCACCAAGGCGACGAUCAGUAGCCGGCCUGAGAGGGUGAACGGCCACAUUGGGACUGAGACACGGCCCAAACUCC
This 282-nucleotide ribosomal RNA is filed under the name uncultured Lachnospiraceae bacterium. RNAcentral describes it as "partial 16S ribosomal RNA". It matches the Rfam family "Bacterial small subunit ribosomal RNA", at positions 63 to 339 of the family's 1533-position model. The record is from RNAcentral. Lineage: Bacteria; Bacillati; Bacillota; Clostridia; Lachnospirales; Lachnospiraceae.